GGUAAUAGUCCUGUAGCCGAAACCAAAAGCGGCUCUUAGAACCGUUACCCGAGUAGCGCGGGGCACGAGGAAUCCCGUGUGAAUCAGGGAGGACCACCUUCCAAGGCUAAAUACUACCUGGCGACCGAUAGCGGAUAGUACCGUGAGGGAAAGGUGAAAAGCACCCCGGGAGGGGAGUGAAAUAGAACCUGAAACCAUGAGCUUACAAUCAGUCAGAGCACUAUGGGGAAGCUUGCUUCUCCAGUGUGAUGGCGUACUUUUUGUAGAACGGGCCGGCGAGUUAUGGUCGGUAGCGAGGUUAAGGGACUUUGUUCCGGAGCCGUAGCGAAAGCGAGUCUUAACAGGGCGAUUAGUUACCGGCUGUAGACCCGAAACCGGGUGAUCUACCCAUGGCCAGGGUGAAGCUCGGGUGAUGCUGAGUGGAGGCCGGAUGGCGUAGGCGAUGGAUAACUGGUGGAGAUUCCAGUGCCACCUUAAGGCCGUUAUGAGCGAUGGGGUGACGCAGGAGGGUAGGCGCAGCGCACCGUUGGUUGUGUGCGUCCAAGCGUGUAGGGAGAGCCGGUAGGCAAAUCCGCCGGCUUGUUAAUCCCGAGGCGCGAUGGGGAGCGAAAAUAUGUAGUAGCGAACUGGCCGAUCCCAUACUGCCGAGAAAAGCCUCUAGCCAGGCCUGAAGGUGCCCGUACCGUAAACCGACACAGGUAGGCGGGGAGAGUAUCCUCAGGCGCGCGGGAAAACCCUCGUUAAGGAACUCGGCAAAUUGACCCCGUAACUUUGGGAGAAGGGGUGCCCCGGUAGGGUGAGCACUUUUGCGGUGCAAGCCCGAGGGGGCCGCAGUGAAUAGGCCCAAGCGACUGUUUAUCAAAAACACAGGUCUCUGCGAAGUCGAAAGACGAUGUAUAGGGACUGACGCCUGCCCAGUGCUGGAAGGUUAAGGAAAAGGGUUAUUCAGCACUUUAAGCUUAGUCUUAAGUGCUGAAGAAGCUCUGAACCUAAGCCCCAGUAAACGGCGGCCGUAACUAUAACGGUCCUAAGGUAGCGAAAUUCCUUGUCGGGUAAGUUCCGACCCGCACGAAAGGCGUAACGACUUGGGCGCUGUCUCGACGAGGGACCCGGUGAAAUUGAAUUGCCCGUGAAGAUGCGGGCUACCCACGACAAGACGGCAAGACCCCGUGGAGCUUUACUGUAGCCUGAUAUUGGGUCUUGGUGUUAAAU
Molecule: ribosomal RNA, 1212 nt
Filed under: bioreactor metagenome
Description: bacterial LSU rRNA
Rfam family: Bacterial large subunit ribosomal RNA
Source: RNAcentral